ACGAACGCUGGCGGCGUGCCUAACCCAUGCAAGUUGAGCGACGAACCAGGGCUUGCCCUGGGGCAAAGCAGCGAACGGGUGAGUAACACGUGGGUAACCUACCCCGAUAACCGGGACAACCCGAGGAAACUCGGGCUAAUACCGGAUGUGCUCACUGGACUUCGGUUCAGUGCGUAAAGGAAGCUUCGGCCUCCGUAUCGGGAGGGGCCCGCGGCCCAUUAGUUUGUUGGUGAGGUAACGGCUCACCAAGACCGCGAUGGGUAGCUGGUCUGAGAGGACGAUCAGCCACACUGGGACUGAGACACGGCCCAGACUCCUACGGGAGGCAGCAGUGGGGAAUCUUGCGCAAUGCGCGAAAGCGUGACGCAGCAACGCCGCGUGGGGGAAGAAGGCCUUCGGGUUGUAAACCCCUUUCAGGAGGGACGAAGGUUCGGCGGUGAAUAGCCGUCCGGACUGACGGUACCUCCACAAGAAGCCCCGGCUAACUACGUG
Molecule: ribosomal RNA, 492 nt
Filed under: uncultured bacterium
Lineage: Bacteria
Description: partial 16S ribosomal RNA
Rfam family: Bacterial small subunit ribosomal RNA
Source: RNAcentral